UACGGAGGGUGCAAGCGUUACCCGGAAUCACUGGUCGUAAAGGGCGUGUAGGCGGAAUGUUAAGUCUGGUUUUAAAGACUGGGGCUCAACCCCAGGAGUGGACUGGAUACUGGCAAUCUUGACCUCUGGAGAGGUAACUGGAAUUCCUGGUGUAGCGGUGGAAUGCGUAGAUACCAGGAGGAACACCAAUGGCGAAGGCAAGUUACUGGACAGAAGGUGACGCUGAGGCGCGAAAGUGUGGGGAGCAAACCGG
RNAcentral lists this ribosomal RNA (253 nucleotides) under uncultured bacterium. RNAcentral describes it as "partial 16S ribosomal RNA". It matches the Rfam family "Bacterial small subunit ribosomal RNA", at positions 524 to 776 of the family's 1533-position model. The record is from RNAcentral.